This 619-nucleotide ribosomal RNA is filed under the name Bacillus cereus. RNAcentral describes it as "bacterial SSU rRNA". It matches the Rfam family "Bacterial small subunit ribosomal RNA", at positions 113 to 717 of the family's 1533-position model. Lineage: Bacteria; Bacillati; Bacillota; Bacilli; Caryophanales; Bacillaceae. The record is from RNAcentral.
ACACGUGGGUAACCUGCCCAUAAGACUGGGAUAACUCCGGGAAACCGGGGCUAAUACCGGAUAACAUUUUGAACCGCAUGGUUCGAAAUUGAAAGGCGGCUUCGGCUGUCACUUAUGGAUGGACCCGCGUCGCAUUAGCUAGUUGGUGAGGUAACGGCUCACCAAGGCAACGAUGCGUAGCCGACCUGAGAGGGUGAUCGGCCACACUGGGACUGAGACACGGCCCAGACUCCUACGGGAGGCAGCAGUAGGGAAUCUUCCGCAAUGGACGAAAGUCUGACGGAGCAACGCCGCGUGAGUGAUGAAGGCUUUCGGGUCGUAAAACUCUGUUGUUAGGGAAGAACAAGUGCUAGUUGAAUAAGCUGGCACCUUGACGGUACCUAACCAGAAAGCCACGGCUAACUACGUGCCAGCAGCCGCGGUAAUACGUAGGUGGCAAGCGUUAUCCGGAAUUAUUGGGCGUAAAGCGCGCGCAGGUGGUUUCUUAAGUCUGAUGUGAAAGCCCACGGCUCAACCGUGGAGGGUCAUUGGAAACUGGGAGACUUGAGUGCAGAAGAGGAAAGUGGAAUUCCAUGUGUAGCGGUGAAAUGCGUAGAGAUAUGGAGGAACACCAGUGGCG